CGUGAGGAGCUAACCUGCCGGACGAGGGCCACAGAAACAAACAGCCACCCUUACUCCGCAAGGGGUGAGGGGGUGAUGGUGAAAAGGUGGUGUAAAAGACCACCGGCAUCUGUAGUAAUACGGAUGGCCAGGUAACCCCCGCCGGGAGCAAGACCAAGCAGGGACGAAGCCAUCUGCGGAUGGUGGGAGGCGGCUCGCCUUCUUUAUGUGCCCUCUUAUGCGAUAAGAGGGUCAGUCCCGGGUAGGUUGCAUCGAGCGGUGCGGCGACGCGCCGCCCAGAGAGAUGAUCGCACAGGCGAGGCAACUCGCCGGACAGAAUGCGGCUUAUAGACCGGCCUGAGGU
RNAcentral lists this RNase P RNA (343 nucleotides) under Anaerolineae bacterium. RNAcentral describes it as "partial RNase P RNA component class A". It matches the Rfam family "Bacterial RNase P class A", at positions 86 to 367 of the family's 367-position model. Rfam says of the family: Ribonuclease P (RNase P) is a ubiquitous endoribonuclease, found in archaea, bacteria and eukarya as well as chloroplasts and mitochondria. The record is from RNAcentral. Lineage: Bacteria; Bacillati; Chloroflexota; Anaerolineae.